Molecule: ribosomal RNA, 740 nt
Filed under: uncultured Bacteroidales bacterium
Lineage: Bacteria; Pseudomonadati; Bacteroidota; Bacteroidia; Bacteroidales
Description: bacterial SSU rRNA
Rfam family: Bacterial small subunit ribosomal RNA
Source: RNAcentral
ACAUGCAAGUCGAGGGGCAGCAUUUUAGUUUGCUUGCAAACUAAAGAUGGCGACCGGCGCACGGGUGGGUAACACGUAUCCAACCUGCCGAUAACUCGGGGAUAGCCUUUCGAAAGAAAGAUUAAUAUCCGAUAGUAUAUUAAAACCGCAUGGUUUUACUAUUAAAGAAUUUCGGUUAUCGAUGGGGAUGCGUUCCAUUAGUUUGUUGGCGGGGUAACGGCCCACCAAGACUACGAUGGAUAGGGGUUCUGAGAGGAAGGUCCCCCACAUUGGAACUGAGACACGGUCCAAACUCCUACGGGAGGCAGCAGUGAGGAAUAUUGGUCAAUGGACGAGAGUCUGAACCAGCCAAGUAGCGUGAAGGAUGACUGCCCUAUGGGUUGUAAACUUCUUUUAUAUGGGAAUAAAGUAUUCCACGUGUGGGAUUUUGUAUGUACCAUAUGAAUAAGGAUCGGCUAACUCCGUGCCAGCAGCCGCGGUAAUACGGAGGAUCCGAGCGUUAUCCGGAUUUAUUGGGUUUAAAGGGAGCGUAGGUGGAUUGUUAAGUCAGUUGUGAAAGUUUGCGGCUCAACCGUAAAAUUGCAGUUGAAACUGGCAGUCUUGAGUACAGUAGAGGUGGGCGGAAUUCGUGGUGUAGCGGUGAAAUGCUUAGAUAUCACGAAGAACUCCGAUUGCGAAGGCAGCUCACUAGACUGCAACUGACACUGAUGCUCGAAAGUGUGGGGUAUCAAACAGGAUUA